Long non-coding RNA from Clupea harengus (Atlantic herring), 1148 nucleotides. NCBI's taxonomy places the organism in Eukaryota, Metazoa, Chordata, Actinopteri, Clupeiformes, Clupeidae. The record is from Ensembl.
GCCGUGGUCAGCCUCCCCAGACUUAGCGAUGCCUUCCUGGUAAUCUUUGGACUGAUAUAUGCACUACACCUCAGCUACCCCAAAGCACUGACCAACACUUUUGAAUUCACUGAAAAGAUUUUACUUGGUCUAGAAAGUGGUAAACUGUCACCCAGGUUGCAGACCCUCAAGAAUGACUUGUUGAUGUAAGUGACUGAUGGAGGAGGUGGAGAGGGAGGUGACUGAUGGAGGAGGAGAGGGAGGUGACUGAUGGAGGAGGUGGAGAGGGAGGAGGAGAGGGAGGUGACUGAUGGAGGAGGUGGAGAGGGAGGAUAAGAGGGAGGUGACUGAUGGAGGAGGAGAGGGAGGUGACUGAUGGAGGAGGUGGAGAGGGAGGAUAAGAGGGAGGUGACUGAUGGAGGAGGUGGAGAGGGAGGUGACUGAUGGAGGAGGUGGAGAGGGAGGAUAAGAGGGAGGUGACUGAUGGAGGAGGUGGAGAUGGAGGUGACUGAUGGAGGAGGUGGAGAAGGAGGUGACUGAUGGCGGAGGUGGAGAGGGAGGAUAAGAGGGAGGUGACUGAUGGAGGAGGUGGAGAGGGAGGAUAAGAGGGAGGUGACUGAUGGAGGAGGUGGAGAGGGAGGUGACUGAUGGAGGAGGUGGAGAUGGAGGUGACUGAUGGAGGAGGUGGAGAUGGAGGUGACUGAUGGAGGAGGUGGAGAGGGAGGAGAAGAGGGAGGUGACUGAUGGAGGAGGUGGAGAGGGAGGUGACUGAUGGAGGAGGUGAGGGAGGUGACUGAUGGCGGAGGUGGAGAGGGAGGUGACUGAUGGCGGAGGUGGAGAGGGAGGUGACUGGAGGAGGAGAGGGAGGUGACUGAUGGAGGAGGUGGAGAGGGAGGUGACUGAUGGCGGAGGUGACUGAUGGAGGAGGAGAGAGGGAGGUGACUGAUGGAGGAGGUGGAGAGGGAGGUGACUGAUGGCGGAGGUGACUGAUGGAGGAGGAGAGAGGGAGGUGACUGAUGGAGGAGGAGAGGGAGGUGACUGAUGGAGGAGGUGGAGAGGGAGGUGACUGAUGGCAUAGGAGGAGAGAGGGAGGCUUUGAUUUAUUUUGAUUUAUAGAUGUUUAUUAUUUAUUUUUCUAUUUAAUUUUAAUAUUGCAGUGUGCUAAAAGG